UGUUUGGUGGCUGAGUAAAAAGCGAUAGACUGUAGAUCUAUUUACGAAAUUAAAUUUUCCCAACAA
Molecule: transfer RNA, 66 nt
Filed under: Lucerapex sp. MNHN IM 2013-19988
Lineage: Eukaryota; Metazoa; Mollusca; Gastropoda; Neogastropoda; Turridae
Description: tRNA-Tyr
Rfam family: tRNA
About the family: Transfer RNA (tRNA) molecules are approximately 80 nucleotides in length. Their secondary structure includes four short double-helical elements and three loops (D, anti-codon, and T loops).
Source: RNAcentral